AAAAAAAAAAAGAAUAGUAUUACAAGUACAUACUAAUCCGUACAUACUAAAACGUUCUGACACGAAUAGUAUUACAUUGCAAGUUUGACAACCGAAUAAGAGUACCGAUUAGUAAAAGAGGUUACAAAAUUGGCAAGCCCAAACAUAACAAAGGGCUGGUAAACCCAAGACUAAAAAAACGAUCGAAACCUUUGAAUUUCACCUUGAAUCAUCACUAAACAUGAAUUUUUAUUUGAGAGACCACUAAACUCGUAUAAAAAGCUUUGUUAUUGUAAAAGCAAACAUGAAUUUUUAUUUGAGAGACCACUAAACCCGCAUAAAAAGCUUUGUUAUUGUAAAAACACUUGUUACGAGUCCUCUAAUUCAACCAAAUAAUUGUUAACCAAAUAACUUGAAAGCAAUCCUUAAUCUUCAUAAAACGAAAAUGCAUGACGGCUACAACAUAACAACAAAAGGUAAUCAGAGGUGGAUUAAACCUCCGGCAGGUAUGCUUAAGUGCAAUGUCGAUACAGCAUAUUAUGCGGAACAAAAUUUAUUUUGCGUUGCAGCAUGUUUACGGGACGAUAAUGGUAAGUUUGUUGCUGCGUUCACAAAGAGGCUUGAAGGCAAACCUGUCAUUGUAGAGGCGACAGCUAUAGGAGAAUUGGAAGCACUCA
Molecule: long non-coding RNA, 656 nt
Filed under: Trifolium pratense (red clover)
Lineage: Eukaryota; Viridiplantae; Streptophyta; Magnoliopsida; Fabales; Fabaceae
Description: long non-coding RNA (TPRA_LNC009749)
Source: RNAcentral